AAAACAGCCACCGGCGGCUCGAGUGGUAACCGUUAUUAUUGGGUCUAAAGGGUCUGUAGCCGGCCGGAUAAGUCUCUUGAGAAAUCUGGCAGCUUAACUGUCAGGCUUUCAGGAGAUACUGUCUGGCUCGAGGCCGGGAGAGGUGAGAGGUACUUCAGGGGUAGGGGUGAAAUCUUGUAAUCCUUGAAGGACCACCAGUGGCGAAGGCGUCUCACCAGAACGGACCUGACGGCAAGGGACGAAAGCUAGGGGCACGAACCGGAUUAGAUACCCGGGUAGUCCUAGCCGUAAACGAUACUCGCUAGGUGUCGGCCACGGUGCGACCGUUGUCGGUGCCGUAGGGAAGCCGUGAAGCGAGCCACCUGGGAAGUACGGCCGCAAGGCUGAAACUUAAAGGAAUUGGCGGGGGAGCACCACAACGGGUGGAGCUUGCGGUUUAAUUGGAUUCAACGCCGGAAAUCUUACCGGGACCGACAGCAAUAUGAAGGCCAGGCUGAAGACUUUGCCGGAUUAGCU
This 516-nucleotide ribosomal RNA is filed under the name uncultured archaeon. Its description in RNAcentral is "bacterial SSU rRNA". It matches the Rfam family "Archaeal small subunit ribosomal RNA", at positions 464 to 981 of the family's 1478-position model. The record is from RNAcentral.